GAUGGUGCUAGUAGCCGGUCUGAUACUCAGCAUCCCAGCCCUGCAAUUGGUAGCAGACAGAAAGAACAAAUAGCUGAAUAGGUAUCCCAGCCAGGCGGUUUACGGGGGUUCGAGUCCCCCUCUGGGAGCGA
RNAcentral lists this transfer RNA (131 nucleotides) under Caudoviricetes sp. RNAcentral describes it as "tRNA-Cys". The record is from RNAcentral. Lineage: Duplodnaviria; Heunggongvirae; Uroviricota; Caudoviricetes.